GGUUAAUUCGACGCAACGCGAAGAACCUUACCAGGGCUUGACAUCCCCUGACCGCGUAUGAAAGUACGUUUUCACCCUCGGGUGACAGGGAGACAGGUGGUGCAUGGUUGUCGUCAGCUCGUGUCGUGAGAUGUUGGGUUAAAGUCCCGCAACGAGCGCAAUCCUCGUGGUAUGUUGCCAGCAGUUCGGCUGGGCACUCAUACCAGACUGCCGCAGCAAUGUGGAGGAAGGUGGGGAUGACGUCAAGUCAGCAUGCCCCGUACGCCCUGGGCUACACACAUACUACAAUGCAGAGUGCAGACGGAUGCCAAGCCGUGAGGUGGAGCUAAUCCGCGAAGGCUCUGCUCAGUGCAGAUUGCAGGCUGCAACUCGCCUGCAUGAAGGCGGAAUCGCUAGUAACCGUCGGUCAGCAUUACGACGGUGAAUACGUUCCCGGGCCUU
RNAcentral lists this ribosomal RNA (441 nucleotides) under uncultured Rhodanobacter sp. Its description in RNAcentral is "bacterial SSU rRNA". It matches the Rfam family "Bacterial small subunit ribosomal RNA", at positions 943 to 1382 of the family's 1533-position model. The record is from RNAcentral. Lineage: Bacteria; Pseudomonadati; Pseudomonadota; Gammaproteobacteria; Lysobacterales; Rhodanobacteraceae.